This 403-nucleotide ribosomal RNA is filed under the name bacterium. RNAcentral's name for it is "partial 16S ribosomal RNA". It matches the Rfam family "Bacterial small subunit ribosomal RNA", at positions 355 to 776 of the family's 1533-position model. RNAcentral also lists the same sequence under 1 other name. The record is from RNAcentral.
UGGGGAAUAUUGCACAAUGGAGGGAACUCUGAUGCAGCGACGCCGCGUGAACGAAGAAGGCUUUCGAGUCGUAAAGUUCUUUUAUAUGGGAAGAUAAUGACGGUACCAUAAGAAAAAGCCCCGGCUAACUACGUGCCAGCAGCCGCGGUAAUACGUAGGGGGCUAGCGUUGUCCGGAAUCACUGGGCGUAAAGGGUUCGCAGGCGGAAAUGCAAGUCAGGUGUAAAAGGCAGUAGCUUAACUACUGUAAGCAUUUGAAACUGCGUAUCUUGAGAAGAGUAGAGGUAAGUGGAAUUUUUAGUGUAGCGGUGAAAUGCGUAGAUAUUAAAAAGAAUACCGGUGGCGAAGGCGACUUACUGGGCUCAUUCUGACGCUGAGGAACGAAAGCGUGGGUAGCAAACAGG